AUAUAUAUAUAUAUAUAGAGAGAGAGAGAGAGAGAGUGGGGCUAGAAUACUAUUGAUAGUAUUUAUCACUUUUUGCUAUCAAAUUUUUAAUUUUCAGAUAAAAAAUUAUAGGAUUAGAAUGAUAUUAGUCUCUUAGGAUUGAAUGGUCCUCACUGGAUUAUAAUACUUAAUCCAAUGGUUAUAAAUGAUCCAAGAAAUUGAUUCAAAGGCUAAAAACUUGAUAGCAAAAUAGAACAAAUACUAUUAAUAGUAUUAUAGCACAACUCUCUCUAUAUAAAUAUAAACAUUAUUAGUUGUUUUUAACUUAUUGAUCAGUU
This 317-nucleotide long non-coding RNA is filed under the name Ananas comosus (pineapple). RNAcentral's name for it is "long non-coding RNA (ACOM_LNC000298)". The record is from RNAcentral. Lineage: Eukaryota; Viridiplantae; Streptophyta; Magnoliopsida; Poales; Bromeliaceae.